AGUGAACGCUGGCGGUAGGCCUAACACAUGCCAGUCGAACGGCAGCACAGUAAGAGCUUGCUCUUACGGGUGGCGAGUGGCGGACGGGUGAGGAAUACAUCGGAAUCUACUUUUUCGUGGGGGAUAACGUAGGGAAACUUACGCUAAUACCGCAUACGACCUACGGGUGAAAGCAGGGGAUCUUCUGACCUUGCGCGAUUGAAUGAGCCGAUGUCGGAUUAGCUAGUUGGCGGGGUAAAGGCCCACCAAGGUGACGAUCCGUAGCUGGUCUGAGAGGAUGAUCAGCCACACUGGAACUGAGACACGGUCCAGACUCCUACGGGAGGCAGCAGUGGGAAAUAUUGGACAAUGGGCGCAAGCCUGAUCCAGCCAUACCGCGUGGGUGAAGAAGGCCUUCGGGUUGUAAAGCCCUUUUGUUGGGAAAGAAAAGCAGCAGGUUAAUACCCCGCUGUUCUGACGGUACCCAAAGAAUAAGCACCGGCUAACUUCGUG
This 492-nucleotide ribosomal RNA is filed under the name uncultured bacterium. RNAcentral's name for it is "partial 16S ribosomal RNA". It matches the Rfam family "Bacterial small subunit ribosomal RNA", at positions 29 to 507 of the family's 1533-position model. The record is from RNAcentral.